UUGGAGGGCAAGUCUGGUGCCAGCAGCCGCGGUAAUUCCAGCUCCAAUAGCGUAUAUUAAAGUUGUUGCAGUUAAAAAGCUCGUAGUUGAAUUUCGGGAUCAAAUAAUCGGUCGUGCCUCCGGUACGUACUGGUUUUAUUGGUUCCUCCCUUCUGACGAACCAUGAUGUCAUUAAUUUGAUGUGGUGGAGAAUCAGGACUGUUACCUUGAAAAAAUUAGAGUGUUUAAAGCAGGCUAACGCUUGAAUACAUCAGCAUGGAAUAAUGAAAUAGGACGUUCGACCCUAUUUUGUUGGUUUCUAGGAUCGACGUAAUGAUUAAUAGGGAUAGUUGGGGGCAUUAGUAUUCAAUUGUCAGAGGUGAAAUUCUUGGAUUUAUUGAAGACUAACUACUGCGAAAGCAUUCGCCAAGGAUGUUUUCAUUAAUCAAGAACGAAAGUUAGGGGAUCGAAGACGAUCAGAUACCGUCGUAGUCUUAACCAUAAACUAUGCCGACUAGGGAUCGGAUGAUGUUAAUUUUUUAAUGACUCAUUCGGCGCCUUACGGGAAAC
Molecule: ribosomal RNA, 549 nt
Filed under: uncultured Glomus
Lineage: Eukaryota; Fungi; Glomeromycota; Glomeromycetes; Glomerales; Glomeraceae
Description: SSU rRNA
Rfam family: Eukaryotic small subunit ribosomal RNA
Source: RNAcentral